AUGGAGACAAGAGUCCUGACUUGGUUGGAGAGAUGGUUGAGGAGAACCUUAAAACACGCUAUGUUAGGGCUGGCCUCUCUCCAACGUACGAUUGAGAGGCAAAGAUCGAGGCUUAAAUGGAUAAAAGAAGGUGAUGCGAACACGAAACUCUUUCAAGUAGUGGCCAAUGGACGGAGGUGUAAGAACUUUAUAAUCCACAUUAGACAUAACGGUGAGCUGAUCACGGAUCAAGGAAGGAAGGAGGAGAUAUUCUCGGAGGCUUAUGAGCGGCUUCUUGGGCAUGCCACUGCCCGGGAGGUGGAAGUUGAUCUCGACUUUCUUGGCUUGGAAGGGAUUGACUUGUCGGAGCUUGAUGGUAUAUUUACGGAUGAGGAAGUGUGGAACACGAUUAAGGAGAUGCCACCGGAUCGGGCACCGGGACCAGAUGGUUUUAUCACGGCAUUUUAUCAAAAGGCUUGGCAUAUCAUAAAGAAGGAUGUGAUGGCAGUGAUUAUGAAGCUCUACGUGGGGGAUGGCCGUGGAUUUGGCAAACUGAAUCGAGCACACAUCAUGCUCAUCCCAAAAAGCCCGAGGCGGAGGAGGUGGGAGGCUUCAGACCAAUUAGCUUAA
Molecule: ribosomal RNA, 609 nt
Filed under: Triticum aestivum (bread wheat)
Lineage: Eukaryota; Viridiplantae; Streptophyta; Magnoliopsida; Poales; Poaceae
Description: partial small subunit ribosomal RNA
Source: RNAcentral